Molecule: ribosomal RNA, 403 nt
Filed under: bacterium
Lineage: Bacteria
Description: partial 16S ribosomal RNA
Rfam family: Bacterial small subunit ribosomal RNA
Source: RNAcentral
UGGGGAAUAUUGCACAAUGGGGGAAACCCUGAUGCAGCGACGCCGCGUGAACGAAGAAGGUAUUCGUAUCGUAAAGUUCUGUCCUAUGGGAAGAUAAUGACAGUACCAUAGAAGAAAGCUCCGGCUAAAUACGUGCCAGCAGCCGCGGUAAUGCGUAUGGAGCGAGCGUUGUCCGGAAUUAUUGGGCGUAAAGGGUACGCAGGCGGUUUAAUAAGUCGAAUGUUAAAGAUCGGGGCUCAACCCCGCAAAGCAUUGGAAACUGAUAAACUUGAGUAGUGGAGAGGAAAGUGGAAUUCCUAGUGUAGUGGUGAAAUACGUAGAUAUUAGGAGGAAUACCAGUAGCGAAGGCGACUUUCUGGACACAAACUGACGCUGAGGUACGAAAGCGUGGGGAGCAAACAGG